RNAcentral lists this ribosomal RNA (363 nucleotides) under Alcaligenes faecalis. RNAcentral's name for it is "bacterial SSU rRNA". It matches the Rfam family "Bacterial small subunit ribosomal RNA", at positions 983 to 1335 of the family's 1533-position model. Lineage: Bacteria; Pseudomonadati; Pseudomonadota; Betaproteobacteria; Burkholderiales; Alcaligenaceae. The record is from RNAcentral.
GACAUGUCUGGAAACCCGAAGAGAUUUGUCCGUGCUCGCAAGAGAACCGAAACACAGGUGGGGCAUGGCCGUCGUCAGCUCGUGUCGUGAGAUGUUGGUUUAAGUCCCGCAACGAUCCCAACCCUUGUCAUUAGUUGCUUCGCAAGAGCACUCUAAUGAGACUGCCGGUGACAAACCGGAGGAAGGUGGGGAUGACGUCAAGUCCUCAUGGCCCUUAUGGGUAGGGCUUCACACGUCAUACAAUGGUAGGGACAGAGGGUCGCCACCCCGCGAGGGGGAGCCAAUCUCAGAAAACCGAUCGUAGUCCGGAUCGCAGUCUGCAACUCGACUGCAUGAAGUCGGAAUCGCGGAGAAAUCCCGGCC